This 673-nucleotide ribosomal RNA is filed under the name uncultured euryarchaeote. RNAcentral describes it as "bacterial SSU rRNA". It matches the Rfam family "Archaeal small subunit ribosomal RNA", at positions 322 to 999 of the family's 1478-position model. Lineage: Archaea; Methanobacteriati; Methanobacteriota. The record is from RNAcentral.
CCUAGGGGGGGCAGCAGGCGCGAAAACUUUGCAAUGCGGGAAACCGUGACAAGGGAACUCUGAGUGCCCGUAAAAUCGGGCUGUCCAUCGGUUUAAAUAACCGGUGAAGAAAGGGCCGGGCAAGACCGGUGCCAGCCGCCGCGGUAACACCAGCGCCACGAGUGGCAAUCGCGUUUAUUGGGCCUAAAGCGUCCGUAGCAGGUUUUGUAAAUUUCUUGUGAAACUGCCAAGCUUAACUUGGCAAUGUGCAGGAAACACUGCAAGACUAGAGACCGGGAAGGGUCGGAAGUAUUCCUGAGGGAGCGGUAAAAUGCUAUAAUCUCAGGAGGACUACCGGUGGCGAAGGCGUCCGACUAGAACGGAUCUGACUGUGAGGGACGAAAGCUAGGGGAGCAAACCGGAUUAGAUACCCGAGUAGUCCUAGCUGUAAACGCUGUGAGCUAGGUGUCGCGUAUUCUACGGGAAUGCGCGGUGUCGUAAGGAAGCUACUAAGCUCACCGCCUGGGAAGUACGGUCGCAAGACUGAAACUUUAAGGAAUUGGCGGGGGCGCACCACAAGGGGUGCGGCGUGCGGUUUAAUUGGAUUCAACGCCGGAAAUCUUACCGGGACCGACAGCAAUAUGAAAGCCAGGCUGAAGACUUUGCCGGAUUAGCUGAGCGGCGGUGCAUGGCC